GGUUAAGUGACUAAGCGUACAUGGUGGAUGCCUUGGCAGUCAGAGGCGAUGAAGGACGUACUAACCUGCGAUAAGCUGUGAGAAGUCGGUAAGAGACGCUAUUACUCACAGAUUUCCGAAUGGGGAAACCCACCCGAGAUAACUCGGGUAUCUGUUACUGAAUACAUAGGUAACAGAGGCGAACCGGGAGAACUGAAACAUCUAAGUACCCCGAGGAAAAGAAAUCAACCGAGAUUCCCUCAGUAGCGGCGAGCGAACGGGGAUUAGCCCUUAAGCAUCUUGGAAGUUAGUGGAACGGUCCUGGAAAGGGCCGGCGAUACAGGGUGAUAGCCCCGUACACGAAAACAACCUUGAUGUGAAAUCGAGUAGGGCGGGACACGUGACAUCCUGUCUGAAUAUGGGGGGACCAUCCUCCAAGGCUAAAUACUCCUGACUGACCGAUAGUGAACCAGUACCGUGAGGGAAAGGCGAAAAGAACCCCUGUGAGGGGAGUGAAAUAGAACCUGAAACCGUGUACGUACAAGCAGUGGGAGCCCUUCGGGGUGACUGCGUACCUUUUGUAUAAUGGGUCAGCGACUUACAUUUUGUAGCGAGGUUAACCGUAUAGGGGAGCCGUAGGGAAACCGAGUCUUAACUGGGCGUCUAGUUGCAAGGUGUAGACCCGAAACCGGGUGAUCUAGCCAUGGGCAGGUUGAAGGUUGAGUAACAUCAACUGGAGGACCGAACCCACUAACGUUGCAAAGUUAGGGGAUGACCUGUGGCUGGGGGUGAAAGGCCAAUCAAACUCGGAGAUAGCUGGUUCUCCCCGAAAGCUAUUUAGGUAGCGCCUCGGACGAAUACUACUGGGGGUAGAGCACUGUUUGGGCUAGGGGGUCAUCCCGACUUACCAACCCCAUGCAAACUCCGAAUACCAGUAAGUAAUAUCCGGGAGACACACGGCGGGUGCUAACGUCCGUCGUGAAGAGGGAAACAACCCAGACCGCCGGCUAAGGUCCCAAAGUUCUGGUUAAGUGGGAAACGAUGUGGGAAGGCUCAGACAGCUAGGAUGUUGGCUUAGAAGCAGCCAUCAUUUAAAGAAAGCGUAAUAGCUCACUAGUCGAGUCGGCCUGCGCGGAAGAUGUAACGGGGCUCAAACCAGGCACCGAAGCCGCGGAUUCACACUUAUGUGUGAGUGGUAGGGGAGCGUUCUGUAAGUCUGCGAAGGUGUAUCGAGAGGUAUGCUGGAGAUAUCAGAAGUGCGAAUGCUGACGUAAGUAACGAUAAAGGGGGUGAAAAGCCUCCUCGCCGGAAGACCAAGGGUUCCUGUCCAACGUUAAUCGGGGCAGGGUGAGUCGACCCCUAAGGCGAGGCCGAAAGGCGUAGUCGAUGGGAAGCAGGUUAAUAUUCCUGCACGACUUGUAAUUGCGAUGGGGGGACGGAGAAGGCUAGGUGGGCCAGGCGACGGUUGUCCUGGUGAAAGUGCGUAGGUGGUGUUUCUAGGCAAAUCCGGAGACACAACACUGAGACACGAGACGAACACACUACGGUGUGGAAGCCAUUGAUGCCCUGCUUCCAGGAAAAGCCUCUAAGCUUCAGAUUACAAGUCAUCGUACCCCAAACCGACACAGGUGGUCGGGUAGAGAAUACCAAGGCGCUUGAGAGAACUCGGGUGAAGGAACUAGGCAAAAUAGAACCGUAACUUCGGGAGAAGGUUCGCUCUUGAUGGUGAAGUCCCUUGCGGAUGGAGCUGUCGGGAGUCGCAGUGACCAGAUGGCUGGGACUGUUUAUCAAAAACACAGCACUCUGCAAACACGAAAGUGGACGUAUAGGGUGUGACACCUGCCCGGUGCCGGAAGGUUAAUUGAUGGGGUUAGCGCAAGCGAAGCUCUUGAUCGAAGCCCCGGUAAACGGCGGCCGUAACUAUAACGGUCCUAAGGUAGCGAAAUUCCUUGUCGGGUAAGUUCCGACCUGCACGAAUGGUGUAACCAUGGCCAUGCUGUCUCCACCCGAGACUCAGUGAAAUCGAAUUCGCCGUGAAGAUGCGGUGUACCCGCGGCUAGACGGAAAGACCCCGUGAACCUUUACUACAGCUUGGCACUGAACAUUGAACCUACAUGUGUAGGAUAGGUGGGAGGCUUUGAAGGCGUGACGCCAGUUGCGCUGGAGCCGUCCUUGAAAUACCACCCUUGUAUGUUUGAUGUUCUAACGCAGGGCCCUGAAUCGGGCUCGCGGACAGUGCCUGGUGGGUAGUUUGACUGGGGCGGUCUCCUCCCAAAGAGUAACGGAGGAGCACGAAGGUUGGCUAAUCCUGGUCGGACAUCAGGAGGUUAGUGCAAUGGCAUAAGCCAGCUUAACUGCGAGACGGACAGGUCGAGCAGGUACGAAAGUAGGUCAUAGUGAUCCGGUGGUUCUGAAUGGAAGGGCCAUCGCUCAACGGAUAAAAGGUACUCCGGGGAUAACAGGCUGAUACCGCCCAAGAGUUCAUAUCGACGGCGGUGUUUGGCACCUCGAUGUCGGCUCAUCACAUCCUGGGGCUGAAGUCGGUCCCAAGGGUAUGGCUGUUCGCCAUUUAAAGUGGUACGCGAGCUGGGUUCAGAACGUCGUGAGACAGUUCGGUCCCUAUCUGCCGUGGGCGUUGGAUGAUUGAAGGGAGUUGCUCCUAGUACGAGAGGACCGGAGUGAACGAACCUCUGGUGUUCGGGUUGUCACGCCAGUGGCACUGCCCGGUAGCUAAGUUCGGAAUCGAUAACCGCUGAAAGCAUCUAAGCGGGAAGCGAGCCCUGAGAUGAGUCAUCCCUGACCCCUUGAGGGUCCUAAAGGGCCGUUGGAGACCACAACGUUGAUAGGCGGGGUGUGUAAGUGCAGCGAUGCAUUGAGCUAACCCGUACUAAUUACCCGUGAGGCUUAACCAU
This 2891-nucleotide ribosomal RNA is filed under the name Aeromonas sp. FDAARGOS 1414. RNAcentral's name for it is "23S ribosomal RNA". It matches the Rfam family "Bacterial large subunit ribosomal RNA". The record is from RNAcentral. Lineage: Bacteria; Pseudomonadati; Pseudomonadota; Gammaproteobacteria; Aeromonadales; Aeromonadaceae.